RNAcentral lists this ribosomal RNA (471 nucleotides) under uncultured Pseudomonas sp. Its description in RNAcentral is "bacterial SSU rRNA". It matches the Rfam family "Bacterial small subunit ribosomal RNA", at positions 56 to 524 of the family's 1533-position model. Lineage: Bacteria; Pseudomonadati; Pseudomonadota; Gammaproteobacteria; Pseudomonadales; Pseudomonadaceae. The record is from RNAcentral.
UGCAGUCGAGCGGAUGAGAGGAGCUUGCUCCUCGAUUCGCGGCGGACGGGUGAGUAAUGCCUAGGAAUCUGCCUAGUAGUGGGGGACAACGUUUCGAAAGGAACGCUAAUACCGCAUACGUCCUACGGGAGAAAGUGGGGGAUCUUCGGACCUCACGCUAUUAGAUGAGCCUAGGUCGGAUUAGCUAGUUGGUAGGGUAAAGGCCUACCAAGGCGACGAUCCGUAACUGGUCUGAGAGGAUGAUCAGUCACACUGGAACUGAAACACGGUCCAGACUCCUACGGGAGGCAGCAGUGGGGAAUAUUGGACAAUGGGCGAAAGCCUGAUCCAGCCAUGCCGCGUGUGUGAAGAAGGCCCUCGGGUCGUAAAGCACUUUAAGUUGGGAGGAAGGGCUUACAGCGAAUACCUGUGAGUUUUGACGUUACCGACAGAAUAAGCACCGGCUAACUUCGUGCCAGCAGCCGCGGUAAU